AUGAACGCUGGCGGUAUGCUUAACACAUGCAAGUCGAACGGUCUCUUCGGAGAUAGUGGCGGACGGGUGAGUAACGCGUGAGAAUCUAGCUCCAGGUCGGGGACAACAGUUGGAAACGACUGCUAAUACCGGAUGAGCCGGAAGGUAAAAGAUUAAUUGCCUGGAGAUGAGCUCGCGUCUGAUUAGCUAGUAGGUGUGGUAAGAGCGCACCUAGGCGACGAUCAGUAGCUGGUCUGAGAGGAUGAUCAGCCACACUGGGACUGAGACACGGCCCAGACUCCUACGGGAGGCAGCAGUGGGGAAUUUUCCGCAAUGGGCGAAAGCCUGACGGAGCAAUACCGCGUGAGGGAGGAAGGCUCUUGGGUUGUAAACCUCUUUUCUCAAGGAAUAACAAAAUGAAGGUACUUGAGGAAUAAGCAUCGGCUAACUCCGUGCCAGCAGCCGCGGUAAUACGGAGGAUGCAAGCGUUAUCCGGAAUGAUUGGGCGUAAAGGGUCCGCAGGUGGCCCUGUAAGUCUGCUGUCAAAGAGUGCGGCUUAACCGCAUAAAGGCAGUGGAAACUACAGAGCUAGAGUGCGUUCGGGGCAGCAGGAAUUCCUGGUGUAGCGGUGAAAUGCGUAGAGAUCAGGAAGAACACCGGUGGCGAAAGCGUGCUGCUAGGCCGUAACUGACGCUGAGGGACGAAAGCUAGGGGAGCGAAUGGGAUUAGAUACCCCAGUAGUCCUAGCCGUAAACGAUGGAUACUAGGCGUGGCUUGUAUC
This 760-nucleotide ribosomal RNA is filed under the name Nostoc sp. Su 1. Its description in RNAcentral is "bacterial SSU rRNA". It matches the Rfam family "Bacterial small subunit ribosomal RNA", at positions 29 to 833 of the family's 1533-position model. The record is from RNAcentral. Lineage: Bacteria; Bacillati; Cyanobacteriota; Cyanophyceae; Nostocales; Nostocaceae.